RNAcentral lists this unclassified non-coding RNA (413 nucleotides) under soil metagenome. Its description in RNAcentral is "partial contains 5.8S ribosomal RNA, internal transcribed spacer 2, and large subunit ribosomal RNA". The stretch from base 1 to 120 matches the Rfam family "5.8S ribosomal RNA", at positions 35 to 154 of the family's 154-position model. The record is from RNAcentral.
GAUGAAGAACGUAGCGAAAUGCGAUAAGUAAUGUGAAUUGCAGAAUUCAGUGAAUCAUCGAAUCUUUGAACGCACCUUGCGCUCUUUGGUAUUCCGAAGAGCAUGCCUGUUUGAGUGUCAUGAAAAUAUCAACCUUGACUUGGGUUUUGUGCUCUAGUCUCGGCUUGGAAUUGGGUGCUUGCCGCUUUUACGAGCGGCUCACCUUAAAUGUAUUAGCGGGAUCUGUCUUUGAGACUUGGUUUGACUUGGCGUAAUAAGUAUUUCGCUAAGGACAUUCUUCGGAGUGGCCUCGUUUCUAGGACGCUUGUCCGCUUUCCAAUACAAGUUCCACCUCGUGGACAUGACUUUUUAUUAUCUGGCCUCAAAUCAGGUAGGACUACCCGCUGAACUUAAGCAUAUCAAUAAGCGGAGGA